GUACUUACUGGUAGGGAAGGUACCAUGAUCACAAAGGUGGUUUUCCCAGGCCAAGGCUUAUCCAUCACUCUCUGGGUGUGCUGAUCCCUGUGAUUUCCCCAAAUUAAAAGAAAAAAAAAAAAAAGAGGAUCUAUAGAGGGCUUUUA
This 146-nucleotide small nuclear RNA is filed under the name Dasypus novemcinctus (nine-banded armadillo). RNAcentral describes it as "U1 spliceosomal RNA (ENSDNOG00000032501.1)". It matches the Rfam family "U1 spliceosomal RNA", at positions 1 to 118 of the family's 166-position model. Rfam says of the family: U1 is a small nuclear RNA (snRNA) component of the spliceosome (involved in pre-mRNA splicing). Its 5' end forms complementary base pairs with the 5' splice junction, thus defining the 5' donor site of an intron. There are significant differences in sequence and secondary structure between metazoan and yeast U1 snRNAs, the latter being much longer (568 nucleotides as compared to 164 nucleotides in human). The record is from RNAcentral. Lineage: Eukaryota; Metazoa; Chordata; Mammalia; Cingulata; Dasypodidae.